This 497-nucleotide ribosomal RNA is filed under the name uncultured bacterium. RNAcentral describes it as "partial 16S ribosomal RNA". It matches the Rfam family "Bacterial small subunit ribosomal RNA", at positions 28 to 507 of the family's 1533-position model. The record is from RNAcentral.
GAUGAACGCUGGCGGCGUGCCUAAUACAUGCAAGUCGAGCGAACAGACGAGGAGCUUGCUCCUCUGACGUUAGCGGCGGACGGGUGAGUAACACGUGGAUAACCUACCUAUAAGACUGGGAUAACUUCGGGAAACCGGAGCUAAUACCGGAUAAUAUAUUGAACCACAUGGUUCAAUAGUGAAAGACGGUUUUGCUGUCACUUAUAGAUGGAUCCGCGCCGCAUUAGCUAGUUGGUAAGGUAACGGCUUACCAAGGCAACGAUGCGUAGCCGACCUGAGAGGGGGAUCGGGCACACUGGAACUGUGACACGGUCCAGACUCCUACGGGAGGCGGCAGUAGGGAAUCUUCCGCAAUGGGCUAAAGCGUGACGGAGCAACGCCGCGUGAGUGAUGAAGGUCUUCUGAUCGUAAAUCUCUGUUAUUAGGGAAGAACAAAUGUGUAAGUAACUAUGCACGUCUUGACGGUACCUAAUCAGAAAGCCACGGCUAACUACGUG